This 689-nucleotide ribosomal RNA is filed under the name uncultured Bacilli bacterium. RNAcentral's name for it is "bacterial SSU rRNA". It matches the Rfam family "Bacterial small subunit ribosomal RNA", at positions 67 to 739 of the family's 1533-position model. The record is from RNAcentral. Lineage: Bacteria; Bacillati; Bacillota; Bacilli.
CGCUGAAGCUUGGUGCUUGCACCGAGCGGAAGAGUUGCGAACGGGUGAGUAACGCGUAGGUAACCUGCCUCUUAGCGGGGGAUAACUAUUGGAAACGAUAGCUAAUACCGCAUAAAAGUCGGCAUUGCAUGAUGUUGACUUGAAAGGUGCAACUGCAUCACUAAGAGAUGGACCUGCGUUGUAUUAGCUAGUUGGUGAGGUAACGGCUCACCAAGGCGACGAUACAUAGCCGACCUGAGAGGGUGAUCGGCCACACUGGGACUGAGACACGGCCCAGACUCCUACGGGAGGCAGCAGUAGGGAAUCUUCGGCAAUGGACGGAAGUCUGACCGAGCAACGCCGCGUGAGUGAAGAAGGUUUUCGGAUCGUAAAGCUCUGUUGUAAGAGAAGAACGAGUGUGAGAGUGGAAAGUUCACACUGUGACGGUAACUUACCAGAAAGGGACGGCUAACUACGUGCCAGCAGCCGCGGUAAUACGUAGGUCCCGAGCGUUAUCCGGAUUUAUUGGGCGUAAAGCGAGCGCAGGCGGUUAGAUAAGUCUGAAGUUAAAGGCUGUGGCUUAACCAUAGUACGCUUUGGAAACUGUUUGACUUGAGUGCAGAAGGGGAGAGUGGAAUUCCAUGUGUAGCGGUGAAAUGCGUAGAUAUAUGGAGGAACACCGGUGGCGAAAGCGGCUCUCUGGUCUGUAA